AGCGAACGCUGGCGGCAGGCCUAACACAUGCAAGUCGAACGAACCUUUCGGGGUUAGUGGCGGACGGGUGAGUAACACGUGGGAACGUGCCUUUAGGUUCGGAAUAACUCAGGGAAACUUGUGCUAAUACCGAAUGUGCCCUUCGGGGGAAAGAUUAAUCGCCUUUAGAGCGGCCCGCGUCUGAUUAGCUAGUUGGUUGAGGUAAUGGCUCACCAAGGCGACGAUCAGUAGCUGGUCUGAGAGGAUGAUCAGCCACAUUGGGACUGAGACACGGCCCAAACCCCUCCGGAGGCAGCAGUGGGGAAUCUUGCGCAAUGGGCGAAAGCCUGACGCAGCCAUGCCGCGUGAAUGAUGAAGGUCUUAGGAUUGUAAAAUUCUUUCACCGGGGACGAUAAUGACGGUACCCGGAGAAGAAGCCCCGGCUAACUUCGUG
Molecule: ribosomal RNA, 433 nt
Filed under: uncultured bacterium
Lineage: Bacteria
Description: partial 16S ribosomal RNA
Rfam family: Bacterial small subunit ribosomal RNA
Source: RNAcentral